Molecule: ribosomal RNA, 496 nt
Filed under: Salmonella enterica subsp. enterica serovar Montevideo
Lineage: Bacteria; Pseudomonadati; Pseudomonadota; Gammaproteobacteria; Enterobacterales; Enterobacteriaceae
Description: bacterial SSU rRNA
Rfam family: Bacterial small subunit ribosomal RNA
Source: RNAcentral
AAAUUGAAGAGUUUGAUCAUGGCUCAGAUUGAACGCUGGCGGCAGGCCUAACACAUGCAAGUCGAACGGUAGCACAGAGAGCUUGCUCUCGGGUGACGAGUGGCGGACGGGUGAGUAAUGUCUGGGAAACUGCCUGAUGGAGGGGGAUAACUACUGGAAACGGUGGCUAAUACCGCAUAACGUCGCAAGACCAAAGAGGGGGACCUUCGGGCCUCUUGCCAUCAGAUGUGCCCAGAUGGGAUUAGCUAGUUGGUGAGGUAACGGCUCACCAAGGCGACGAUCCCUAGCUGGUCUGAGAGGAUGACCAGCCACACUGGAACUGAGACACGGUCCAGACUCCUACGGGAGGCAGCAGUGGGGAAUAUUGCACAAUGGGCGCAAGCCUGAUGCAGCCAUGCCGCGUGUAUGAAGAAGGCCUUCGGGUUGUAAAGUACUUUCAGCGGGGAGGAAGGUGUUGUGGUUAAUAACCACAGCAAUUGACGUUACCCGCAGAAGA